RNAcentral lists this ribosomal RNA (216 nucleotides) under Gephyromantis aff. leucomaculatus 'Betampona'. Its description in RNAcentral is "partial 16S ribosomal RNA". It matches the Rfam family "Archaeal large subunit ribosomal RNA", at positions 1946 to 2196 of the family's 2987-position model. Lineage: Eukaryota; Metazoa; Chordata; Amphibia; Anura; Mantellidae. The record is from RNAcentral.
UAGCCUGCCCAGUGACCCUGUUUAACGGCCGCAGUACUCUAACCGCGCAAAGGUAGCAUAAUCACUUUGUCUUUUAAUGAAGACUCGUAUCAACGGCAUCACGAGGGUUCCACUGUCUCCUUUUUCUAAUCAGUGAAAUUAAUCCCCCCGUGAAGAAGCGGGGAUAAACCUAUAAGACGAGAAGACCCCAUGGAGCUUUAAACCUAGCUGCACACC